This 2122-nucleotide long non-coding RNA is filed under the name Sus scrofa (pig). Its description in RNAcentral is "lncRNA (ENSSSCG00000051238.2)". The record is from RNAcentral. Lineage: Eukaryota; Metazoa; Chordata; Mammalia; Artiodactyla; Suidae.
GCCGCCUUCAGCACCAAAAAGAGCGUUAUUGUUUCAGUUUGUCUCACCGCCCUUGAACAAACACAGAGAGACGCUGUUGCUUCUCAUCGACCCAGUGGAGCGUAUGGAAACGGGAAAAUUCUUCUACGGGACAAGUGCGAGCUUUCGAGGGAAACGGAGCCUCCAGCCGUCUCACCACCCGCACCAACACUGACCACAUCUGGGGAGCACGCGCCUUUGUGUUCGCCUUAUCGGGGAAGGGUUAGGGCCACUGGGAGCUAACACAACCGAUGAAAGACCAGAAGCGCAGGCUUAGGUCAGCAGGAAUCAAGGAAACGCUGCGGGUCAAGACGCAGGAAGGAGGAACACCGGCCCCCUCCUUUGACCGGACAGAGGUCAGGACGGCAUCAGUGACACACAACGGCUAUUGCCACGAAGAGAACUGGCUCUGGCAGAAUGAAAGGCCACGGCGGAGAGCGUCUGACGCCCCACUGACGCAGCCAGGAGAUGGAACUAGCGCUGCCCCUUCGGACCAAGUUACCGCUCUGAGAGGUACCCUGGAGGGUCUCUAAAGCCUGGCCGGCACGUGGCCACACCCUUAUCUAGGGCUGUCGCUGCUUCUGCAUUCCAGCGACAGACCCGAGGAGUUGGGACAGAAACGGUAGGCGGCCCUCAGUGGUCAGAGGGCCACCCGGCCACUUACAGAGAAAGGGUGCCUGCCCUUGGCAGCGGUUUAAGGACACAACCCCCGGUACCGAUCUCUGUCCGGUCACUUACGAAUUCCGUGACUCCGGGAAGGUCACACGCUCCGUGGGUGCCACGGUUUCUUCUCUGUAAAGCGCAGUAACAGUGGUGAUGAGAGGUUGUUGCCAGGAUGAAAUGAGUUGAUACCUGGGAAGUGCGGGACCAAGGAGGUCAUCGGUGCGGAGGCCCAGGCGGUGACCUUGUGUUUUGGAUUCUCGGCCGGAAGAAUUCUUGACCUGACACUGUCCCGGGCAGCAGACUUUCGGUCCGACACCCGAGUGGAGGCGUCCACGGUCAGACGGCCGAACGCACCGAGAGCUGCGGGGAUCCGGAGGGACCGGGGGAGGACGGAACCGGAUCAGCCAAGGCCCCGCUGGGAACAAACGCGCCGACUGUACAGGGGACGACUUGGAGAGCAGGCCUGCGUGCGGCCAGCCCCUCCACAGGGAGACGGAUGUGGGUUUCAGCUUUGUUUGUUUGUUUGUUUGUUUGCUGCUAUUGAAGAACAAAAAGAAGAGGAGCCGGUUUCUUUUCUCCUCCUUGACCGACCCAUCCCUGCAAGAGGACAGGGUUUCUUUCUUUUCUUUUUUUCUUUUUCUUUUUUUUGCUCACGCUCACAGCAUGGGGAAGAUCCUGGGCCAGGGAUUGAACCCAAAGCCACAGCAGCAACCCGGGCCACUGCAGUGACAACGCCGGAUCCUUAACCCACCGUGCCACAAGGGCAUUCCAAGGACAAGAUUUCUGAUUCAUGGAGUCUUGAAAAGAAGCUGAAGGUGGAAGCAGUUCUCCCAAGAUGGGAGAGGGUUUGGAAGACCUGAGGGGACCCCGAAGACAGGACACCCAUUUUAAUACAAAGCAUCAACUGCCACACCAACGGGAGCUCCAUCUCAGGCCAUGUUAAUAGAAGCAGGUCUUGUAGAAAGAGGGAGGUGAUCUCCUUCCACCUCCUCUGGCCAGCCCUGGUCUACCGUGGGCAAACAUUACCCCUUCCUAUCAGUUAUGCCGGGUUUUCUUCACCCUCAGCAUCCCUGAUCCGAGGAGCGGCUGAUAAAGGCCCGUAGUUCUGGUCUUUCAAACUUCCGCAAUUAUGCAGAAUUUACCCCUCUCCCCUGGUGAAAGUGGGCCUGGGGGAUGAGUCCAGCUGCAGGUCAAGAAUUCUACUUUAUCAGCAGCUACAAAAGCAUUAACCUGAUCCCCGGGGGCGAAGUGUAGCUGGUUCGGCAGCUCCUGGAGUCGCCUGGCCUUAGGAGAGCCUGUGUCUCCCAGUGGCCUCAGAGAUUGGGUGGCCCCUCGCAGGGUCUCCAAGGACCCGGCCGUGUGCUUACAGCCUGGUUUCCCACCCUCAUCUCCCCUUUACACAUGUACGAUUCUGCCAAAAGGAGCACGGUCCAGCUUUUUC